UACGGAGGGUGCAAGCGUUAUCCGGAUUCACUGGGUUUAAAGGGUGCGUAGGCGGUCUAUUAAGUCAGUGCUGAAAUAUCCCGGCUUAACCGGGAGGGUGGCAUUGAUACUGAUGGACUUGAGUGCAGUAGAGGUAGGCGGAAUUGACGGUGUAGCGGUGAAAUGCUUAGAUAUCGUCAAGAACACCGAUAGUGAAGACAGCUUACUAGACUGUAACUGACGCUGAGGCACGAAAGUGUGGGGAUCAAACAGG
This 253-nucleotide ribosomal RNA is filed under the name uncultured bacterium. Its description in RNAcentral is "partial 16S ribosomal RNA". It matches the Rfam family "Bacterial small subunit ribosomal RNA", at positions 524 to 776 of the family's 1533-position model. The record is from RNAcentral.